AACGAACGCUGGCGGCAUGCCUAACACAUGCCAGUCGAACGAGACCUUCGGGUCUAGUGGCGCACGGGUGCGUAACGCGGGGGAACCUGCCCUUAGGUUCGGAAUAACUCCCCGAAAGGGGUGCUAAUACCGGAUAAUGUCUUCGGACCCAAGAUUUAUCGCCUUUGGAUGGGCCCGCGUUGGAUUAGCUGGUUGGUAGGGUAAAAGCCUACCAAGGCGACGGUCCAUAGCUGGUCGGAGAGGAUGAUCAGCCACACUGGGACUAAGACACGGACCAGAAUCCUACGGGAGGCAGCAGUGGGGAAUAUUGGACGAGGGGCGAUAGCCUGAUGCAGCCACGCCGCGUGAGUGAUGAAGGCCUUAGGGUUGUAAAGCUCUUUUACCCGGGACGAUAAUGACAGUACCGGGAGAAUAAGCACCGGCUAACUCCGUG
This 433-nucleotide ribosomal RNA is filed under the name uncultured bacterium. RNAcentral describes it as "partial 16S ribosomal RNA". It matches the Rfam family "Bacterial small subunit ribosomal RNA", at positions 29 to 507 of the family's 1533-position model. The record is from RNAcentral.